RNAcentral lists this ribosomal RNA (989 nucleotides) under bacterium enrichment culture clone SaB9. Its description in RNAcentral is "bacterial SSU rRNA". It matches the Rfam family "Bacterial small subunit ribosomal RNA", at positions 75 to 1083 of the family's 1533-position model. The record is from RNAcentral.
GCCGCGUGCUGGGGGGAUUAGUGGCGAACGGGUGAGUAACACGUGAGUAACCUGCCCUUGACUCUGGGAUAAGCCUGGGAAACUGGGUCUAAUACCGGAUAUGACUGCUCCGCGCAUGCGGUGGUGGUGGAAAGCUUUUGCGGUUUUGGAUGGACUCGCGGCCUAUCAGCUUGUUGGUGGGGUAAUGGCCUACCAAGGCGACGACGGGUAGCCGGCCUGAGAGGGUGACCGGCCACACUGGGACUGAGACACGGCCCAGACUCCUACGGGAGGCAGCAGUGGGGAAUAUUGCACAAUGGGCGAAAGCCUGAUGCAGCGACGCCGCGUGAGGGAUGACGGCCUUCGGGUUGUAAACCUCUUUCAGUAGGGAAGAAGCGUAAGUGACGGUACCUGCAGAAGAAGCGCCGGCUAACUACGUGCCAGCAGCCGCGGUAAUACGUAGGGCGCAAGCGUUAUCCGGAAUUAUUGGGCGUAAAGAGCUCGUAGGCGGUUUGUCGCGUCUGCUGUGAAAGACCGGGGCUCAACUCCGGUUCUGCAGUGGGUACGGGCAGACUAGAGUGAUGUAGGGGAGACUGGAAUUCCUGGUGUAGCGGUGAAAUGCGCAGAUAUCAGGAGGAACACCGAUGGCGAAGGCAGGUCUCUGGGCAUUAACUGACGCUGAGGAGCGAAAGCAUGGGGAGCGAACAGGAUUAGAUACCCUGGUAGUCCAUGCCGUAAACGUUGGGCACUAGGUGUGGGGGACAUUCCACGUUUUCCGCGCCGUAGCUAACGCAUUAAGUGCCCCGCCUGGGGAGUACGGCCGCAAGGCUAAAACUCAGAGGAAUUGACGGGGGCCCGCACAAGCGGCGGAGCAUGCGGAUUAAUUCGAUGCAACGCGAAGAACCUUACCAAGGCUUGACAUGAACUAGUANAGCGCAGAUGUGUUCCCCUCUGAGCUGGUUACAGUGGUGCAUGUUGUCGUCAGCUCGUGUCGUGAGAUGUCGGGUAGA